AUUGAACGCUGGCGGCAUGCUUUACACAUGCAAGUCGAACGGGCUUAGGGGCUUGCUCCUAAGUUAGUGGCGAACGGGUGAGUAAUACAUCGGAACGUACCGUGUAGUGGGGGAUAACGUAGCGAAAGUUACGCUAAUACCGCAUACGAUCUACGGAUGAAAGUGGGGGACCUUCGGGCCUCACGCUAUACGAGCGGCCGAUGUCUGAUUAGCUAGUUGGUGAGGUAAAGGCUCACCAAGGCAACGAUCGAGUAGCGGGUCUGAGAGGAUGAUCCGCCACACUGGGACUGAGACACGGCCCAGACUCCUACGGGAGGCAGCAGUGGGGAAUUUUGGACAAUGGGCGAAAGCCUGAUCCAGCCAUGCCGCGUGUCUGAAGAAGGCCUU
This 387-nucleotide ribosomal RNA is filed under the name uncultured bacterium. RNAcentral describes it as "bacterial SSU rRNA". It matches the Rfam family "Bacterial small subunit ribosomal RNA", at positions 30 to 418 of the family's 1533-position model. The record is from RNAcentral.